RNAcentral lists this ribosomal RNA (2339 nucleotides) under Staphylococcus aureus M1134. Its description in RNAcentral is "bacterial LSU rRNA". It matches the Rfam family "Bacterial large subunit ribosomal RNA", at positions 3 to 2340 of the family's 2925-position model. The record is from RNAcentral. Lineage: Bacteria; Bacillati; Bacillota; Bacilli; Caryophanales; Staphylococcaceae.
UUAAGUUAUUAAGGGCGCACGGUGGAUGCCUUGGCACUAGAAGCCGAUGAAGGACGUUACUAACGACGAUAUGCUUUGGGGAGCUGUAAGUAAGCUUUGAUCCAGAGAUUUCCGAAUGGGGAAACCCAGCAUGAGUUAUGUCAUGUUAUCGAUAUGUGAAUACAUAGCAUAUCAGAAGGCACACCCGGAGAACUGAAACAUCUUAGUACCCGGAGGAAGAGAAAGAAAAUUCGAUUCCCUUAGUAGCGGCGAGCGAAACGGGAAGAGCCCAAACCAAAAAGCUUGCUUGUUGGGGUUGUAGGACACUCUAUACGGAGUUACAAAGGACGACAUUAGACGAAUCAUCUGGAAAGAUGAAUCAAAGAAGGUAAUAAUCCUGUAGUCGAAAAUGUUGUCUCUCUUGAGUGGAUCCUGAGUACGACGGAGCACGUGAAAUUCCGUCGGAAUCUGGGAGGACCAUCUCCUAAGGCUAAAUACUCUCUAGUGACCGAUAGUGAACCAGUACCGUGAGGGAAAGGUGAAAAGCACCCCGGAAGGAGAGUGAAAUAGAACCUGAAACCGUGUGCUUACAAGUAGUCAGAGCCCGUUAAUGGGUGAUGGCGUGCCUUUUGUAGAAUGAACCGGCGAGUUACGAUUUGAUGCAAGGUUAAGCAGUAAAUGUGGAGCCGUAGCGAAAGCGAGUCUGAAUAGGGCGUUUAGUAUUUGGUCGUAGACCCGAAACCAGGUGAUCUACCCUUGGUCAGGUUGAAGUUCAGGUAACACUGAAUGGAGGACCGAACCGACUUACGUUGAAAAGUGAGCGGAUGAACUGAGGGUAGCGGAGAAAUUCCAAUCGAACCUGGAGAUAGCUGGUUCUCUCCGAAAUAGCUUUAGGGCUAGCCUCAAGUGAUGAUUAUUGGAGGUAGAGCACUGUUUGGACGAGGGGCCCCUCUCGGGUUACCGAAUUCAGACAAACUCCGAAUGCCAAUUAAUUUAACUUGGGAGUCAGAACAUGGGUGAUAAGGUCCGUGUUCGAAAGGGAAACAGCCCAGACCACCAGCUAAGGUCCCAAAAUAUAUGUUAAGUGGAAAAGGAUGUGGCGUUGCCCAGACAACUAGGAUGUUGGCUUAGAAGCAGCCAUCAUUUAAAGAGUGCGUAAUAGCUCACUAGUCGAGUGACACUGCGCCGAAAAUGUACCGGGGCUAAACAUAUUACCGAAGCUGUGGAUUGUCCUUUGGACAAUGGUAGGAGAGCGUUCUAAGGGCGUUGAAGCAUGAUCGUAAGGACAUGUGGAGCGCUUAGAAGUGAGAAUGCCGGUGUGAGUAGCGAAAGACGGGUGAGAAUCCCGUCCACCGAUUGACUAAGGUUUCCAGAGGAAGGCUCGUCCGCUCUGGGUUAGUCGGGUCCUAAGCUGAGGCCGACAGGCGUAGGCGAUGGAUAACAGGUUGAUAUUCCUGUACCACCUAUAAUCGUUUUAAUCGAUGGGGGGACGCAGUAGGAUAGGCGAAGCGUGCGAUUGGAUUGCACGUCUAAGCAGUAAGGCUGAGUAUUAGGCAAAUCCGGUACUCGUUAAGGCUGAGCUGUGAUGGGGAGAAGACAUUGAGUCUUCGAGUCGUUGAUUUCACACUGCCGAGAAAAGCCUCUAGAUAGAAAAUAGGUGCCCGUACCGCAAACCGACACAGGUAGUCAAGAUGAGAAUUCUAAGGUGAGCGAGCGAACUCUCGUUAAGGAACUCGGCAAAAUGACCCCGUAACUUCGGGAGAAGGGGUGCUCUUUAGGGUUAACGCCCAGAAGAGCCGCAGUGAAUAGGCCCAAGCGACUGUUUAUCAAAAACACAGGUCUCUGCUAAACCGUAAGGUGAUGUAUAGGGGCUGACGCCUGCCCGGUGCUGGAAGGUUAAGAGGAGUGGUUAGCUUCUGCGAAGCUACGAAUCGAAGCCCCAGUAAACGGCGGCCGUAACUAUAACGGUCCUAAGGUAGCGAAAUUCCUUGUCGGGUAAGUUCCGACCCGCACGAAAGGCGUAACGAUUUGGGCACUGUCUCAACGAGAGACUCGGUGAAAUCAUAGUACCUGUGAAGAUGCAGGUUACCCGCGACAGGACGGAAAGACCCCGUGGAGCUUUACUGUAGCCUGAUAUUGAAAUUCGGCACAGCUUGUACAGGAUAGGUAGGAGCCUUUGAAACGUGAGCGCUAGCUUACGUGGAGGCGCUGGUGGGAUACUACCCUAGCUGUGUUGGCUUUCUAACCCGCACCACUUAUCGUGGUGGGAGACAGUGUCAAGCGGGCAGUUUGACUGGGGCGGUCGCCUCCUAAAAGGUAACGGAGGCGCUCAAAGGUUCCCUCAGAAUGGUUGGAAAUCA